GCCUGGGUGGCUCAGUCAGUUGAGCAUCUGACUUCGGCUCAGGUCAUGAUCUCACAGUUUGUGAGUUCGAGCCCCGCAUCUGGCU
This 85-nucleotide transfer RNA is filed under the name Felis catus (domestic cat). It matches the Rfam family "tRNA". From Rfam's summary of the family: Transfer RNA (tRNA) molecules are approximately 80 nucleotides in length. Their secondary structure includes four short double-helical elements and three loops (D, anti-codon, and T loops). The record is from Rfam by way of RNAcentral. RNAcentral also lists the same sequence under 1 other name. Lineage: Eukaryota; Metazoa; Chordata; Mammalia; Carnivora; Felidae.